Molecule: ribosomal RNA, 432 nt
Filed under: Lumbricus castaneus
Lineage: Eukaryota; Metazoa; Annelida; Clitellata; Crassiclitellata; Lumbricidae
Description: partial 16S ribosomal RNA
Rfam family: Bacterial large subunit ribosomal RNA
Source: RNAcentral
UUCAACGGCCGCGGUAUCCUAACCGUGCAAAGGUAGCAUAAUCAUUUGCCCAUUAAUUGUGGGCUAGAAUGAAAGGAUUAACGAAAUAAAGACUGUCUCUGCAAGANCACCUAAAAAUUACCCUCUAACCGAAGAGCGUUAGAUAUAGUCGAAGGACAAGAAGACCCUAUAGAGCUUAAUUUAAACAAAUGUAAAAANANUUUACUAAAANUUCGGUUGGGGCGACCGAGGAAANNUGACUAUCAUCCUCAGAUAAAANGAUAAAUAAAUCUAACUAAUNNGACCCUUAANCUAAGAUCACUAAAACAAGCUACCUUAGGGAUAACAGGCUAAUCUCACUAGAGAGUCCUUAUUAAUAGUGAGGUUUGGCACCUCGAUGUUGGCUUAGGGAAUCUAUGCGGCGCAAAAGUCACAUAAAGAUGGUUUGUUCAA